This is a long non-coding RNA of Salvia splendens (bonfire salvia), 957 nucleotides long. RefSeq lists it as uncharacterized. The transcript has 2 exons. The record is from RefSeq and is a predicted model, not a curated record. NCBI's taxonomy places the organism in Eukaryota, Viridiplantae, Streptophyta, Magnoliopsida, Lamiales, Lamiaceae.
GAGACGUACAAGCUAUACUAUAAUGAAGUACAAUCACACGUGAAGAUGAGGGAUGUUGUACUAUGCUGCUUCCCAGUUGUACUAUUAGAGAAGUACUUAUUGUAUUUCAUCAAAAAUUCGUUAAGUACAUUCACCAGAAAAUCCUCAUUCCUCUCACCAAAUUAAAUUAAGAAGCAUCGUUGUAUAAAUAGGUAGGCUAAGUGAAUCAUUGUUCUUACUCGACUACGAGAUUUUUGUCAUCUCCAAGAACAAUGCAUACAUAAUUUGAAGAGCAAAAGGCGUUAUUCUCAAAAUUGGACAUUUCACUUUGCGGACUCCGAGGGAUAGAUUAAUAAUGGGUGAAACAAUUGGUCCUUCUAGUAUCAUCUUUCACCAAAAUCUCAAAUGGUAACUAUAAAAACUAACUUUCCUAACUAAGAAGUUAUUUUUAUUAAAUUCCAACUUUGUGAGAGAUGCAUAAGAAAAAUAUCUUAUUUUUCUUAUGCAUCACACCCAUAAACAGGACUAGCAUUUCUUUCCUUGCGGCCAACGAGCUGCCGCUGCACGAGGCUCAUCUGGGCCUUUCGGGGAGUAUCCCAAUUACCAGACGCUCUACAUUAGUGACGACCCUAUUUGUGCUCCUUGUGAAUUUUGUCGAUUCGAUUCGUGGUUCAUCGGAUUCGUCGGAAUGAAGCCCUAGUUUCUAUAUCAGCGAACCACCCAAAAUUAGAGACGAUAUGGAUUUGAUUGGAAUAGGUUGGGGAUGCUAGAGAUUGGUUGAGUUCAAGAUCUAUGGCUGCAGUGUGACAAUGUAGGGUUAUGUGUGACACAUAAGGAAUCGAUGUCUCUCACAAAGUUAGAUAUUUUAUAAAAAUUCAAAACUCUAAAGUUUGUUAGUUUGUAUACCUAGAACAUUUGAGAAUUUUGUCAUCAUGUUGCAAAACAAAUCUGUAUCUUAUAAUUAUCCUUUAUUCUGAA